This 707-nucleotide long non-coding RNA is filed under the name Felis catus (domestic cat). RNAcentral describes it as "lncRNA (ENSFCAG00000048972.1)". The record is from RNAcentral. Lineage: Eukaryota; Metazoa; Chordata; Mammalia; Carnivora; Felidae.
ACUAUAUUGGGUUAUUAAAAGCCUGACCUCUUUUAGCAAUUUUUUAUCCCAUUAUUAAAUAGUUCAUAUAAAAUAUAGUAAGCCUUGACUUUUGAAGCCUUAGCUUCUCAAUUUCAGAUUCACAAUCAACCUGUGGGUGCUUGAUAUCAUUCAAAUGAUUUCAAAGCUACUGCCUCAUCUGAUCAACACCUGGAUUCCUAACCAUGUCUUCUGAUUCCAGUCUAGUAUGCAUCCCACCGAAACACAACCUCCUAUCAUUGCCUUGUCAUCAAGUCUUUGAGGGAUUGUGGAUCAGGGAUGGAAGGAGCGAAGGAGUGACAGACUCGUUGGUAAUACAGAAUGACAAUGAAACUUUUUACCUAAAGUGAUCAGCAUAAUGUCCUCUACUGAGACAAAGAACGUGUUUCCAAAUUGCCUCUGGCAGGACAGAUAUCUAUCUAAGCAGAAAAUGAAGGUAGGUUGUAACGGAGUGUUUUUCUGCAGUUUAUGUUUCUAGCAAAGGAAAAAUAUUAGUACUCUAUUUAAGAAGAUAGCUCUCUCUGAGAUCCUCAGAUUCUCCUUAUGUUCAGACCUGUCUUGACAUGCCCUGCUACCAUCAGAAACACAGCAUAUGGAAGUUCAAUUUCUAUUCUCAGAUGCUCAAGAAAUAACUUCAGAUUCAAGUCUGAGAUUUGACUUGAAAGACAGGAUAUUAGCACAUCAUUGAU